GAGUUUGAUCAUGGCUCAGAUUGAACGCUGGCGGCAUGCCUUACACAUGCAAGUCGAACGGCAGCACGGGUGCUUGCACCUGGUGGCGAGUGGCGAACGGGUGAGUAAUACAUCGGAACAUGUCCUGUAGUGGGGGAUAGCCCGGCGAAAGCCGGAUUAAUACCGCAUACGAUCUACGGAUGAAAGCGGGGGACCUUCGGGCCUCGCGCUAUAGGGUUGGCCGAUGGCUGAUUAGCUAGUUGGUGGGGUAAAGGCCUACCAAGGCGACGAUCAGUAGCUGGUCUGAGAGGACGACCAGCCACACUGGGACUGAGACACGGCCCAGACUCCUACGGGAGGCAGCAGUGGGGAAUUUUGGACAAUGGGCGAAAGCCUGAUCCAGCAAUGCCGCGUGUGUGAAGAAGGCCUUCGGGUUGUAAAGCACUUUUGUCCGGAAAGAAAUCCUUGGCUCUAAUACAGUCGGGGGAUGACGGUACCGGAAGAAUAAGCACCGGCUAACUACGUGCCAGCAGCCGCGGUAAUACGUAGGGUGCGAGCGUUAAUCGGAAUUACUGGGCGUAAAGCGUGCGCAGGCGGUUUGCUAAGACCGAUGUGAAAUCCCCGGGCUCAACCUGGGAACUGCAUUGGUGACUGGCAGGCUAGAGUAUGGCAGAGGGGGGUAGAAUUCCACGUGUAGCAGUGAAAUGCGUAGAGAUGUGGAGGAAUACCGAUGGCGAAGGCAGCCCCCUGGGCCAAUACUGACGCUCAUGCACGAAAGCGUGGGGAGCAAACAGGAUUAGAUACCCUGGUAGUCCACGCCCUAAACGAUGUCAACUAGUUGUUGGGGAUUCAUUUCCUUAGUAACGUAGCUAACGCGUGAAGUUGACCGCCUGGGGAGUACGGUCGCAAGAUUAAAACUCAAAGGAAUUGACGGGGACCCGCACAAGCGGUGGAUGAUGUGGAUUAAUUCGAUGCAACGCGAAAAACCUUACCUACCCUUGACAUGGUCGGAAUCCCGCUGAGAGGUGGGAGUGCUCGAAAGAGAACCGGCGCACAGGUGCUGCAUGGCUGUCGUCAGCUCGUGUCGUGAGAUGUUGGGUUAAGUCCCGCAACGAGCGCAACCCUUGUCCUUAGUUGCUACGCAAGAGCACUCUAAGGAGACUGCCGGUGACAAACCGGAGGAAGGUGGGGAUGACGCCAAGUCCUCAUGGCCCUUAUGGGUAGGGCUUCACACGUCAUACAAUGGUCGGAACAGAGGGUUGCCAACCCGCGAGGGGGAGCUAAUCCCAGAAAACCGAUCGUAGUCCGGAUUGCACUCUGCAACUCGAGUGCAUGAAGCUGGAAUCGCUAGUAAUCGCGGAUCAGCAUGCCGCGGUGAAUACGU
Molecule: ribosomal RNA, 1363 nt
Filed under: unidentified marine bacterioplankton
Lineage: Bacteria
Description: bacterial SSU rRNA
Rfam family: Bacterial small subunit ribosomal RNA
Source: RNAcentral